RNAcentral lists this ribosomal RNA (234 nucleotides) under uncultured bacterium. RNAcentral's name for it is "partial 16S ribosomal RNA". It matches the Rfam family "Bacterial small subunit ribosomal RNA", at positions 1267 to 1500 of the family's 1533-position model. The record is from RNAcentral.
GCAAAACUUCAAAAAUAGGUCUCAGUUCGGACUGUAGGCUGCAACUCGCCUACACGAAGUUGGAAUUGCUAGUAAUCGUGGAUCAGCAUGCCACGGUGAAUACGUUCCCGGGUCUUGUACACACCGCCCGUCACACCAUGGGAGCUGGUAACACCCGAAGUCAGUAGUCUAACCGCAAGGAGGACGCUGCCGAAGGUGGGAUUAGCGACUGGGGUGAAGUCGUAACAAGGUACC